AGUUAAUUAUAGUAUGAACUAGGAAAUCAUUUCAGUAUAAUCAGUUCAGUGUCAUUCAGUUGGGAGUAGGAUUCAGCAUCGAGCGAACCCAAGGAUGGAAACUCACCUGCCAGUAGAGGGUGUGAUUCUUAGAACCAGUCCUUGCGUUCCAGAACUAUGUAGCCAGCAUAGGUUGAGACAUCAAUACCUGUUAGUUGAGGGUAGAUGAGGUGGAUUAACCUGUCAGAUGAGCGUUCCCACCGUUCUCAUUAGAGUACCUGCCAGAUGAGGGUCACUCACAGC
This 282-nucleotide long non-coding RNA is filed under the name Capsicum annuum. RNAcentral's name for it is "long non-coding RNA (CANN_LNC019807)". Lineage: Eukaryota; Viridiplantae; Streptophyta; Magnoliopsida; Solanales; Solanaceae. The record is from RNAcentral.